RNAcentral lists this ribosomal RNA (549 nucleotides) under uncultured Glomus. Its description in RNAcentral is "SSU rRNA". It matches the Rfam family "Eukaryotic small subunit ribosomal RNA", at positions 548 to 1098 of the family's 1831-position model. Lineage: Eukaryota; Fungi; Glomeromycota; Glomeromycetes; Glomerales; Glomeraceae. The record is from RNAcentral.
UUGGAGGGCAAGUCUGGUGCCAGCAGCCGCGGUAAUUCCAGCUCCAAUAGCGAAUAUUAAAGUUGUUGCAGUUAAAAAGCUCGUAGUUGAAUUUCGGGGUCAGUAGAUUGGUCAUGCCACUGGUAUGUACUGGUCUCACUGAUUCCUCCUUCCUGAUGAGCCGUAAUGCCAUUAAUUUGGUGUUGCGAGGAAUCUGGACUGUUACUUUGAAAAAAUUAGAGUGUUUAAAGCAGGCUAACGCUUGAAUACAUUAGCAUGGAAUAAUGAAAUAGGACGUUCGAUCUUAUUUUGUUGGUUUCUAAGAUUGACGUAAUGAUUAAUAGGGAUAGUUGGGGGCAUUAAUAUUCAAUUGUCAGAGGUGAAAUUCUUGGAUUUAUUGAAGACUAACUACUGCGAAAGCAUUUGCCAAGGAUGUUUUCAUUAAUCAAGAACGAAAGUUAGGGGAUCGAAGACGAUCAGAUACCGUCGUAGUCUUAACCAUAAACUAUGCCGACUAGGGAUCGGAUGAUGUUAAUUUUUUAAUGACUCAUUCGGCGCCUUACGGGAAAC